RNAcentral lists this long non-coding RNA (1961 nucleotides) under Jatropha curcas. RNAcentral describes it as "long non-coding RNA (JCUR_LNC002495)". Lineage: Eukaryota; Viridiplantae; Streptophyta; Magnoliopsida; Malpighiales; Euphorbiaceae. The record is from RNAcentral.
UGUCAAUUUGGAAUUUUUGAUGAAGAAGAUGUGUCAAAAGAAGCACCUUUUGUGUAUGAUCAAGUUCUUCACCACAAAAACUAGCAGAUAGAGAACAAGGUUGCUGCCUAGAAAUGGGUAGCUUUUGUUUUUGCAGUUGUUGCUGAAAUAAGGUGAACUCAUCAGGCUUCUCCCACUGCACGACAAAGUUCAAUACAAUAGUCACAACCUCUAAAGGUCUAAUCAAUUCUAAUUGUAGCAAUUUCUCACAAAUUGAAACUUAUAGCUUAAACAAACCUAAGGAAAAUAUUGUUGUUAGCAAUUGGGUGUCGUAAGCCCAACCCAUCAUAUCUUUUGAAACAUACUCUCUUUCUCUACAACCUUCCUGUUGGCGAUGUUCUCACAAAACAGAGACUGAACACUAAUUUCCUAAGAUAAGGAGAUAGCUCACUAGUGUUCUCAAGAAAAAUAUCAUACUCUGAACACUUUUCUCGGUCCCUCCCCUCACCCUUCAUUACCCGCCAAAGCAUUUAAGCAGUUGCAUUUUUCAUAAUUUCAACUUAAAAAAUGCAUCCAUAGACUUCCUGAGAAAAGAUCUCCAGCUUAAUCAGUUAAAUUGAUUUAAUUUUGCAACCUAUUCGGAUAAAUGUUAGACACAAGUGGCAUGGUGGCCAGAUUUGGGUCGUACUGGAGUUGCCUUUCUGCAACCUCACAUAAAAAGCUUGUGCAUGAGGAAGCGAAAGAGUAGAUUUUAAAUUUAAACUACAAAAAUUUCUAAGAACCUACUCAAUGUAGUUGAUAAAGGCAGAAACUUACUCUACUUUCACAAGUUGUGCAAUUAUAAUAGUACUUGUACCCAUCAGGGCAGCUAUGCUCACUCCAAUCACACUCUUGUGGAUCUGCUGUCUGGGGACUUGCAGGUACUGCAGGUGCGGCAGAAGUAACACUCACAGCCAGAGUAUUGCUCUCAGUCCAUUGAGACUGUAGGAAGGUAGGACAUGGUAGAUAGUCACAGUUCUCAUUGUAACCAGUUACAAGAUAUGAGAUAUCAAUAUAAUGAGUUGAAUGAAUUGCUAAAAAAAAAAAAAAAAAGCAUUCUCAUUAUCUUGUUCCAAUUCACCAAAUUAAUUAAAUAUUCCACCCAUUAAAAUUGAAAUAUAUAUAAAUAGAAGGGGACAUUCUUUUUCUUUUUUAGCUGGAAAAAAAUUACAAUAGAUUGUGACCUUGCACAUGAGACAAGACAUUGAAUACUUUCACAACAGCAAAAAGAGUAAAAAAAAAAAAAAAAAAAAAAGGGUUUUAAAAAAACACAACANNNNNNNNNNNNNNNNNNNNNNNNNNNNNNNNNNNNNNNAUGUAUAGAUUUUUCACUUACUAUAUUAACCUUGAAAUGAAUUUCUAUCUUACUUCCGUUAGGCAAUUCUAGCUUGCUGAUCGUAAUUUGUACUGUGAUAACAUCUAAAGUCAAUUUUCCACAAGAACAAAAAUGUAAAUUCAAGUGCACUCUGGCUUUUUCAUGACUUGCAACUGCAGUACCACUUGAUUAUUAAACAAGCAAAAAGAUUCUAACAUAGAAAACCAUACAAAAGAAAGAGAAUACCACAGACGAUGAUGUCAAUUUGGAAUUUUUGAUGAAGAAGAUGUGUCAAAAGAAGCACCUUUUGUGUAUGAUCAAGUUCUUCACCACAAAAACUAGCAGAUAGAGAACAAGGUUGCUGCCUAGAAAUGGGUAGCUUUUGUUUUUGCAGUUGUUGCUGAAAUAAGGUGAACUCAUCAGGCUUCUCCCACUGCACGACAAAGUUCAAUACAAUAGUCACAACCUCUAAAGGUCUAAUCAAUUCUAAUUGUAGCAAUUUCUCACAAAUUGAAACUUAUAGCUUAAACAAACCUAAGGAAAAUAUUGUUGUUAGCAAUUGGGUGUCGUAAGCCCAACCCAUCAUAUCUUUUGAAACAUACUCUCUUUCUCUACAACCUUCCUGUUG